AUGCGGCAAACAGCUGGUGUUUGUUGAAUUUUGAGCGGUUAUGUAGACAAACCAAAAGUCGAAAUGAACACAUAACACAGCCGCGGGCAAACGCAAGGUUACAUUACGGAAUUUAUAAUAAAAUAAACGAACGGAUAAAUUUUGAAUGGAAGAAAUCUGUGGGAAUGUAGGAAAUUGUGAUGCAGUGUUGGUUGCCUAUGUCACAAAUACAAUUUAAGUUUUCAACUCGCAGUUAUUAAUCAAUUAUUCUGAAGUUAAACGUUUUAUAAUAGAUUUAUUGCAUAAAAUAGUUGUUUAGGUAAAUAUACAUUUGGUUUACAACAAAUUAUUGUUAAAAAGCUAGCCGGUUUUGCAUUCUACCCUAAAAUUUAAUAUUUAACCUAAAAUAUUGAAUAAAACUGUGUUGUUGACAUUUGUAUUAUUUUAAUACAUUAUUUUCAUCAAACAACUACGAAAAUCUAACUCAGAAACUGUUUGCUUUCGAUUUUCAUCUUCUCUACCAACUUUCAUUUAUGGUUAUAUUGUUUUUCGCUACAUGAAACUGGAAAGCUCGCCGGCGCACAGUUCCUUGAACCCGGACGCUAUUAAUUUUAUUGGGAUAUCAAAAGGAUAACUCCGGCGGGCAUGACUGCGCGUCUCCUGCGACGACACAAAACACUGACAUGGCGAAUAAAGCAGAAAGUCGGCAUUAAUUAUGGAACAGGGGCGGCUGGCUUGCAUCCAUUCAUUAUGAACCAUGGGAAAUGUAAUAUUGAUCUACUGACAUUGAAUUCAACACUGGUGGGAAUUUUGCAGGAGUCAGCUUUGAAAUUCAACGCAAUAAAAUUGUAUUGUCAUGCAAUGCAACUUUACGAUGAGAUUGCAGGAAAAAAUUUAUAAUAAGCUUGAUAGACGACGUGGAAAGCCAGCUAGAAUAUAUUACACGUAUAUUCCAUCGGUUUUAUUACCUCUAAACAUAUUGUAACUCAAUGGUAGACUAAAUUUCGUACUUUUUCAGUUUUUAUGUUUUUUUUGUUUAAUUUUGGUUAAAUACCUAUCAAAUUCUCUUGUAAUUAUUGAUGGUUGGAUAAUGCUGGACUACGUGUAAUAUGAUAACACUCGGUGUUUAAUCAGCAUGGUUGUUUUAUCUGGUUGAGUCUUUCUCGCCUACAGCCUGUACCAGACGCGGUUAUCGAUCUCGUUCGGCGAGAGCAGCGGACCACAACCACCAGCAGAAUUUCGCACAUUUCUACAGUGGGGGUUGGUUCAGUGGCUGUGAGCAUGGCAACACUCUUGUGCCAGGAAUUGGCACAAUUUUCAGAGCAUGCCUUUUUCAUUUGACUUUAAAUGCUAUUUUAUACCAAACUCUAGGAGAAUAAAAACCAAAUGCAAUUGAAAUUUAAUUUGUGGCUUACAUAAAACCUGCAUUUGCGUAGAGAAGAUAAUAGCGUUUAAUUUAACGUAAAUAUUUUGAAUUAUUUUGGAUUAUUAUGUGGAUUUUCAGUAGGAAUUAGUUCAAUUAAAAGAAUUAGAUUAGUAUGUCAAUCGCAGCACUCAAGCCCAUGUUUUGUUGAAGCAGUACGCCUGCAAUUCUGCUGGAUGUGGAUCAGAGUGGAAAAUCAAUUUAGGGCAGUUAUUUGAAUCCCCUUCGUUUAAUUUCAAUCGUAAAUAACUUUUAACAGUUACAAUUUGCUAAUUCUCCCAACAUUAAUACGAAAAUGCAAUCAAAUUUAGAGAUUGCAUGUAAAUGCACUUUAAUAAUAUUUGCUGAUCACUUCCGAUAAAGAUUCCAAAUCACUAAAUCAACAUUGCUACGAGAUACUACAACUUACUUACACAAAAUGACUAAACAUAGGGUGGGAGUUGAAUUCGCGUAACCCACUUUCACAAAACACAAAUUAUUUCCGAUUUUGGUGGGCAUUUGAAGUUGAUCCAAAGCUAAUUACACGCGUGUGCCUUUCGCCAACUAGAAAUAUGCGGUGUGUUCCGCGUUCGCAAACAUGAAUUCGUUUGAAUGGAGUAGUUGCAAGCGUUGCAAGCGUAAAUUUAGCGACAUGAGCGUACCCGCCCACGAAACGUAUUUGGGUCAGGGAGAGCCAGGGAAGACCGAUAUAUACAACAACUAGUUAAGCCUUGUUCAAGUUUGCCCUCAAACACGUAUUUAUACUGUUUCGUCGCUGUCACUUUUGCUUUCAACCUUUGAUCAUUCACGUUGUUUGCUGCAAGUUGCGAAAAUUAGCCAUCUCAAAAUGCGCCGGUUUUAAUUACGUUGAUCGCUGCAGCUGGACCAAAUAAUUAAUAUGAACGAAUCAGCGAUUUCGUGUCGUCGACCGUUGAUGCGCUGGGACAUCGUAAAGCGAUGAACGCGCUCGAUUGAGUACCCGUCUCGACAUCAUAUCAUUCGACGAUGUCGAUUAAACGCUGCCCGAAAUGAGCGCAGAGAUGAAACAGUAGCAGCUGUAAUAAAUGGAAGUCUGGAACGAGCAGAUAACGCGCAGAUAAACACAAAUCCUCUAAAGAGAAUCCAAUUUGGUGCAAUUGAUGAAAAAAUAAAACCAUUUUAUGUUGUUUUUAACAUUAUAUGCUUGAUAUCACUUAGCGUAAUUAUUGUUUAGUGCACCAAUGAAUCGUAAAUUUUAAUUGAAAGCGUUUUUUGAAUGAAGCCAAUUACUCCAACCGACAGCACCGCGGCUAUUAUCUAAUAAACGGUAGAAAUGCUGAAUAGAUUUGUUGUUUGGGUUCGUACAGUCGCGAAGCCAUUUUGUUUUGACUGCACUGUUUAACGAUCAUGAUCAUGGUCCUUUUCAUCAUACACCUACACAUAUUAUACUUAAAUAUACAGUGUGUCUUUAUAACAGUCAUAAAUCUAUAAAAUUUAUAAAAAUUAUUCUAAAA
Dalotia coriaria is the source of this 2874-nucleotide long non-coding RNA. RefSeq lists it as uncharacterized. NCBI's taxonomy places the organism in Eukaryota, Metazoa, Arthropoda, Insecta, Coleoptera, Staphylinidae. The record is from RefSeq and is a predicted model, not a curated record. The transcript is spliced from 2 exons.